GGAGGCAUAGCUCAGUGGUAGAGCAUGUACUUGUCACGAGGUCCUGGGUUCAAUUCCCAGUGCCUCCA
This 68-nucleotide transfer RNA is filed under the name Camelus bactrianus (Bactrian camel). It matches the Rfam family "tRNA". Rfam says of the family: Transfer RNA (tRNA) molecules are approximately 80 nucleotides in length. Their secondary structure includes four short double-helical elements and three loops (D, anti-codon, and T loops). RNAcentral also lists the same sequence under 2 other names. The record is from Rfam by way of RNAcentral. Lineage: Eukaryota; Metazoa; Chordata; Mammalia; Artiodactyla; Camelidae.